Long non-coding RNA from Ixodes scapularis (black-legged tick), 207 nucleotides. RefSeq lists it as uncharacterized. The record is from RefSeq and is a predicted model, not a curated record. NCBI's taxonomy places the organism in Eukaryota, Metazoa, Arthropoda, Arachnida, Ixodida, Ixodidae. The transcript is spliced from 3 exons.
GACGAGGACAAAAUUCAUGACAUGGCCCUUCUUCGUGUCGUGAAGACAGCACAUGGCGGUGAAACUCCAAGUGGAGAGGGAAGCUCAGUUGAUGAAAACACUCCAGGAACCAGCCAGGAGCGGCAUUUCAAAAUUACACCAAGUCAUGGUGACGACGAUGGGGCAGGAUUUGUACUUCCGGACUUCGACUUUCUUAAAGCGGCUGCA